This 252-nucleotide ribosomal RNA is filed under the name uncultured bacterium. RNAcentral describes it as "partial 16S ribosomal RNA". It matches the Rfam family "Bacterial small subunit ribosomal RNA", at positions 524 to 775 of the family's 1533-position model. The record is from RNAcentral.
UACGUAGGGGGCGAGCGUUGUCCGGAGUUACUGGGCGUAAAGCGCACGCAGGCGGUCGUGUCAGUUUGGGGUUACAGCUCCCGGCUCAACCGGGAGAGCGCCUCGAAGACGGCAGGACUUGAGGGCCAGAGAGGGACACAGAAUUCCGGGUGGAGUGGUGAAAUGCGUAGAUAUCCGGAGGAAUACCAAAGGCGAAGGCAGUGUCCUGGCUGGCAGCUGACGCUGAGGUGCGAAAGCGUGGGGAGCGAACAG